UAUAUUCUCCCACAAAUAUUAAAACCGUAAAAGAGGGGCCGUAGAACUCACAUUCGAAACGUGAUCCCGAUCCUGGUUCUUUUGGUGAAGCUCUUCGUUAAUAACCGCAAAGUAACCGUUCUCGGACUUUUAAACGUUUCAGGGUUUAUUUGGUAAUGUUUUAAACUAAAGGGGCUCGUUUUCAAAUAGUUUAUAUUUGAAUGAAAAGGCUGUUUAGCAAUUUAUUUUACACAAGGGACUAAUUUGUAAUGAAUUAUAUCCAAAAGGGCUGUUUUUAAAAUGUUUAAAUCAUUUGGGACCUGCUUUGAAAAGAUUUAUGUCAAGGGCUGAUUUCCUGAUUUAAAGUUAUAAUUGAAGGGACUGUUUCUGUCCACCUGAUACAACAUUUGGGGUACAAGGGAUUUGACGCCUCAUCUUCUUCAUUUGUUCGUCAAAUCGAGUAUAGGAACAGAGGGAGCGACGAACAAACGGAACCACGAGAAGGGUCCAAUCUCCGGCGAUGGCUAAUAGGUGGGGAGGAGGAAUCGAUCUCCGGAGAGCCUCAUUUGGAUUGCUUUAAUCUCCGCCGGCAGUGAGCCAAGAAAACGGCAGCAAGGUCGACGGGAGAGGCUGUAGUCGACAGCAAUGGUGGCGAGAGGCGGCUCCGGCUGUUACUCGUCGCCUUUUCUCUUCUGAUUUUGGCAGGUAACACAAAGGGAAGAUGGAGGUGUGGAUCGGAACUGGAACAACAUUUGGUGGGGGUUUGUUUUAAGUUGUUUGAUCGACAGGAAGAACGAGUGAGGAAGGGUGUGGGUUUCUCCGGCGACGAAUUGUAGCAGCGAUCAGUCUCCGGCGAGUCCUCGUGCUCCUUUCUUGUCGCCGACCGCAGAAGUCAACGGAACAACAACAUCAACCGUCAAUGGUGGAGUGGUGUUUGGUGAUUAGCUUGCUGCCGAUCGGAAACCAUUAACCGGGGUGUUUAGGUGGUGCUAGACGACGAUGGAAGACAGAGAAGGAGGAGGAGGGCGCCAUGGCCGGCAGCUUCACAGAGAAGGAGGCAACAUCGAAUGGGAAAGAUUGAGUGUGGGGAUGUGGUGGUGGCGGCAGCCACCUGUGUCAUCGAAUACACGAGAGAGAGGGAAGGUUUGAGAUUUUUAGUGGUGAAGAAGGCAUAAAAAUGAUUGAAGGCAGCUCAUCAAUGAUCUAUUUACAGAUUUUUGAUUGAUCUUUGGAAGAUUUUUGUGGUACUAUCGUGAUUGUAGAAGAUUUAUAGUACAAUGCCUAAUUCAUUCAAGAUUUGGUACAUGUGCAAGUUUUUGAUGUUCAUUUGUUUAAGUAUGUUUGUGAGAAGAGUGAUGAUUGAGAAUGAGAGGAAAAGAAUUUAGAAGCUGGACAUUUUUAUGUACAAAUAUAUAUUUUGUUACACCUUUAAUGCACUCUCUCCUUUUCUAA
Long non-coding RNA from Lactuca sativa (garden lettuce), 1431 nucleotides. RefSeq lists it as uncharacterized. The record is from RefSeq and is a predicted model, not a curated record. NCBI's taxonomy places the organism in Eukaryota, Viridiplantae, Streptophyta, Magnoliopsida, Asterales, Asteraceae.